RNAcentral lists this unclassified non-coding RNA (347 nucleotides) under soil metagenome. RNAcentral describes it as "partial contains 5.8S ribosomal RNA, internal transcribed spacer 2, and large subunit ribosomal RNA". The stretch from base 1 to 120 matches the Rfam family "5.8S ribosomal RNA", at positions 35 to 154 of the family's 154-position model. The record is from RNAcentral.
GAUGAAGAACGUAGCGAAAUGCGAUAAGUAGUGUGAAUUGCAGAAUUCAGUGAAUCAUCGAGUCUUUGAACGCACAUUGCGCCCCCUGGUAUUCCGGGGGGCAUGCCUGUCCGAGCGUCAUUGCUACCCUCAAGCACGGCUUGUGUGUUGGGCCCCCGUCCCCCCCUCCCGGGGGACGGGCCCGAAAGGCAGCGGCGGCACCGCGUCCGGUCCUCGAGCGUAUGGGGCUUUGUCACCCGCUCUGUAGGCCCGGCCGGCGCCUGCCGACCACCAUCAAUCUUUUUUCAGGUUGACCUCGGAUCAGGUAGGGAUACCCGCUGAACUUAAGCAUAUCAAUAAGCGGAGGA